RNAcentral lists this ribosomal RNA (459 nucleotides) under uncultured bacterium. Its description in RNAcentral is "partial 16S ribosomal RNA". It matches the Rfam family "Bacterial small subunit ribosomal RNA", at positions 338 to 795 of the family's 1533-position model. The record is from RNAcentral.
CCUACGGGAGGCAGCAGUGAGGAAUAUUGGUCAAUGGCCGGAAGGCUGAACCAGCCAAGCCGCGUGAGGGACGAAUGUGCCAAGCAUUGUAAACUUCUUUUGUCAGGGGACAAAGUCAGCCACGUGAGGGUGUUGGAGGGUACCUGAAGAAAAAGCAUCGGCUAACUCCGUGCCAGCAGCCGCGGUAAUACGGAGGAUGCGAGCGUUAUCCGGAUUUAUUGGGUUUAAAGGGUGCGUAGGCGGAUUGUCAAGUCAGCGGUAAAAUCGUGGGGCUCAACUCCGGCGAGCCGUUGAAACUGGUGAUCUUGAGUGGGCGAGAAGUAUGCGGAAUGCGUGGUGUAGCGGUGAAAUGCAUAGAUAUCACGCAGAACUCCGAUUGCGAAGGCAGCAUACCGGCGGCGGUCUGACGCUGAAGCACGAAAGCGUGGGUAUCGAACAGGAUUAGAUACCCUGGUAGUC